This 697-nucleotide ribosomal RNA is filed under the name Streptomyces sp. Its description in RNAcentral is "bacterial SSU rRNA". It matches the Rfam family "Bacterial small subunit ribosomal RNA", at positions 137 to 846 of the family's 1533-position model. Lineage: Bacteria; Bacillati; Actinomycetota; Actinomycetes; Kitasatosporales; Streptomycetaceae. The record is from RNAcentral.
UCUGGGACAAGCCCUGGAAACGGGGUCUAAUACCGGAUAACACUCCUGCCUGCAUGGGUGGGGGUUAAAAGCUCCGGCGGUGAAGGAUGAGCCCGCGGCCUAUCAGCUUGUUGGUGAGGUAGUGGCUCACCAAGGCGACGACGGGUAGCCGGCCUGAGAGGGCGACCGGCCACACUGGGACUGAGACACGGCCCAGACUCCUACGGGAGGCAGCAGUGGGGAAUAUUGCACAAUGGGCGAAAGCCUGAUGCAGCGACGCCGCGUGAGGGAUGACGGCCUUCGGGUUGUAAACCUCUUUCAGCAGGGAAGAAGCGAAAGUGACGGUACCUGCAGAAGAAGCGCCGGCUAACUACGUGCCAGCAGCCGCGGUAAUACGUAGGGCGCAAGCGUUGUCCGGAAUUAUUGGGCGUAAAGAGCUCGUAGGCGGCUUGUCACGUCGGUUGUGAAAGCCCGGGGCUUAACCCCGGGUCUGCAGUCGAUACGGGCAGGCUAGAGUGUGGUAGGGGAGAUCGGAAUUCCUGGUGUAGCGGUGAAAUGCGCAGAUAUCAGGAGGAACACCGGUGGCGAAGGCGGAUCUCUGGGCCAUUACUGACGCUGAGGAGCGAAAGCGUGGGGAGCGAACAGGAUUAGAUACCCUGGUAGUCCACGCCGUAAACGGUGGGAACUAGGUGUUGGCGACAUUCCACGUCGUCGGUGC